RNAcentral lists this ribosomal RNA (443 nucleotides) under Escherichia coli. RNAcentral's name for it is "bacterial SSU rRNA". It matches the Rfam family "Bacterial small subunit ribosomal RNA", at positions 116 to 557 of the family's 1533-position model. The record is from RNAcentral. Lineage: Bacteria; Pseudomonadati; Pseudomonadota; Gammaproteobacteria; Enterobacterales; Enterobacteriaceae.
UCUGGGAAACUGCCUGAUGGAGGGGGAUAACUACUGGAAACGGUAGCUAAUACCGCAUAACGUCGCAAGACCAAAGAGGGGGACCUUCGGGCCUCUUGCCAUCGGAUGUGCCCAGAUGGGAUUAGCUAGUAGGUGGGGUAACGGCUCACCUAGGCGACGAUCCCUAGCUGGUCUGAGAGGAUGACCAGCCACACUGGAACUGAGACACGGUCCAGACUCCUACGGGAGGCAGCAGUGGGGAAUAUUGCACAAUGGGCGCAAGCCUGAUGCAGCCAUGCCGCGUGUAUGAAGAAGGCCUUCGGGUUGUAAAGUACUUUCAGCGGGGAGGAAGGGAGUAAAGUUAAUACCUUUGCUCAUUGACGUUACCCGCAGAAGAAGCACCGGCUAACUCCGUGCCAGCAGCCGCGGUAAUACGGAGGGUGCAAGCGUAAUCGGAAUACUGG